Molecule: ribosomal RNA, 1447 nt
Filed under: Priestia flexa
Lineage: Bacteria; Bacillati; Bacillota; Bacilli; Caryophanales; Bacillaceae
Description: Bacillus flexus 16S ribosomal RNA
Rfam family: Bacterial small subunit ribosomal RNA
Source: RNAcentral
AAUACAUGCAAGUCGAGCGAACUGAUUGGAAGCUUGCUUCUAUGACAUUACUGGCGGACGGGUGAGUAACACGUGGGCAAUCGAUACUGUAAGACUGGGAUAACUUCGGGAAACCGAAGCUAAUACCGGAUAGGAUCUUCUCCUUCAUGGGAGAUGAUUGAAAGAUGGUUUCGGCUAUCACUUACAGAUGGGCCCGCGGUGCAUUAGCUAGUUGGUGAGGUAACGCGUCACCAAGGCAACGAUGCAUAGAUGACCUGAGAGGGUGAUCGGCCACACUGGGACUGAGACACGGCCCAGAGGCUACCUACGGGAGGCAGCAGUAGGGAAUCUUCCGCAAUGGACGAAAGUCUGACGGAGCAACGCCGCGUGAGUGAUGAAGGCUUUCGGGUCGUAAAACUCUGUUGUUAGGGAAGAACAAGUACGAGAGUAACUGCUCGUACCUUGAGGGUACCUAACCAGAAAGCCACGGCUAACUACCUAGCCAGCAGCCGCGGUAAUCGCGUAGCUGGCAAGCGUUAUCCGGAAUUAUUGGGCGCGAAAGCGCGCGCAGGCGGUUUCUUAAGUCUGAUGUGAAAGCUCCACGGCUCAACCGUGGAGGGUCAUUGGAAACUGGGGAACUUGAGUGCAGAAGAGAAAAGCGGAAUUCCACGUGUAGCGGUGAAAUGCGUAGAGAUGUGGAGGAACACCAGUGGCGAAGGCGGCUUUUUGGCGAUGUAACUGACGCUGAGGCGCGAAAGCGUGGGGAAUCAAACAGGAUUAGAUACCCUGGUAGUCCACGCCGUAAACGAUGAGUGCUCUGGUGUUAGAGGGUUUCCACUGCCUUUAGUGCUGCAGCUUACGCAUUAAGCACUCCGCCUGGGGAGUACGGUCGCAAGACUGAAACUCAAAGGAAUUGACGGGCGUCCCCGCACAAGCGGUGGAGCAUGUGGUUUAAUUCGAAGCAACGCGAAGAACCUUACCAGGUCUUGACAUCCUCAGGCACAACUCUAGAGAUAGAGCGUUCCCCUUCGGGGGACAGAGUGACAGGUGGUGCAUGGUUGUCGUCAGCUCGUGUCGUGAGAUGUUGGGUUAAGGGUACGCAACGAGCGCAACCCUUGAUCUUAGUUGCCAGCAUUUAGUUGGGCACUCUAAGGUGACUGCCGGUGACAAACCGGAGGAAGGUGGGCGGUAGACAUCGGUCAAAUCAUCUGCCCCUUAUGACCUGGGCUACACACGUGCUACAAUGGAUGGUACAAAGGGCUGCAAGACCGCGACAAGCCAAUCCCAUAAAACCAUUCUCAGUUCGGAUUGUAGGCUGCAACUCGCCUACAUGAAGCUGGAAUCGCUAGUAAUCGCGGAUCAGCAUGCCGCGGUGAAUACGUUCCCGGGCCUUGUACACACCGCCCGUCACACCACAUCGAGUUUGUAACACCCGAAGUCGGUGGAGUAACCGUAAGGAGCUAGCCGC